AACGAACGCUGGCGUCAGGCCUAACACAUGCCAGUCGAGCGGACCUUUCGGGGUCAGCGGCGGACGGGUGAGUAACGCGUGGGAAUAUGCCCUUCUCUACGGAAUAGUCCUGGGAAACUGGGGGUAAUACCGUAUACGCCCUUUGGGGGAAAGAUUUAUCGGGGAAGGAUUAGCCCGCGUUGGAUUAGGUAGUUGGUGGGGUAAUGGCCUACCAAGCCGACGAUCCAUAGCUGGUUUGAGAGGAUGAUCAGCCACACUGGGACUGAGACACGGCCCAGACUCCUACGGGAGGCAGCAGUGGGGAAUCUUAGACAAUGGGGGCAACCCUGAUCUAGCCAUGCCGCGUGAGUGAUGAAGGCCUUAGGGUUGUAAAGCUCUUUCAGCUGGGAAGAUAAUGACGGUACCAGCAGAAGAAGCCCCGGCUAACUCCGUG
RNAcentral lists this ribosomal RNA (433 nucleotides) under uncultured bacterium. Its description in RNAcentral is "partial 16S ribosomal RNA". It matches the Rfam family "Bacterial small subunit ribosomal RNA", at positions 29 to 507 of the family's 1533-position model. The record is from RNAcentral.